UACGUAGGGGGCAAGCGUUGUCCGGAAUUAUUGGGCGUAAAGAGCGCGUAGGCGGCCAGGUAGGUCCGUUGUGAAAACUCGAGGCUCAACCUCGAGACGCCGAUGGAAACCAUCUGGCUAGAGUCCGGAAGAGGAGAGUGGAAUUCCCGGUGUAGCGGUGAAAUGCGCAGAUAUCGGGAAGAACACCCGUGGCUAAGGCGGCUCUCUAGUACGGUACUGACGCUGAGACGCGAAAGCGUGGGGAGCGAACAGG
Molecule: ribosomal RNA, 253 nt
Filed under: uncultured bacterium
Lineage: Bacteria
Description: partial 16S ribosomal RNA
Rfam family: Bacterial small subunit ribosomal RNA
Source: RNAcentral